UGAAGAAAAUAGUUCCCCUGUGGAAAGUGAAGCAGCAUGGCCGAAGGAAAAUCUUUUCUUUACUGCUCCUCCAUGCACCACUCCUCAGCACCCAUCCUUAUAAAACAACCCCUGUAUUUGCAACUUCUCUUUCACUUUGCCAGAUAAAGACUGCUGGAGAAAAGACAACCGACCUGCAGAACAAGAAGGACAAUUAAGAAAACAACACCACCACCUGGUUCCCAUUUAAAAAAGAAAAAUCGGACUGGAGAUUUGCAAUGCUGACCUCCUGAGACGGAAAGGUGAAUAAGAGUCAAAGAAAAAGAGAGAAAGACAGAAAAAGUGAGUGAGAGAGAGAACAGAAAAAGAGCAAGAUUUUAUUAAUUGUGGCAUUACCAUGUGUAAGCCGGAGCAUAGACCAUUGAUGCAGAUGCCUGACUUGCUGAUCCAGCCUGUGUGUCAGUACUGAGACCAACUUCAUCUUUCUGAAAUCACUCCGGGGUCAUGUCCAGCUCUUAGUAUUCUUUUUCUGAUGUGGAGGCAGAUGCCAAGAAGUUCUGAAUUAACAAGAAAAUCGUGACUAAAGGAUGGGGAGCAGAACCAGUAAAGUUUACAAAUGGAUAUUCUUAGACCCAGAAGAAAGAAAGGAGAAAAAAAACCCUUUAAUAUCUCCAGUGAUGAAUCCUUCUGAUAUAAUUAAUCUGUCAUAGUUUAACUGUUCUGGCAAAACUACUCUGCACAUGUUAACAUUUUCCUCUGUGUGAUUUAAGGCACUAGUUAUAUACAUUUAAUUUGCAUAAGUGAAUGUAUUCAUAUAACUGUUUAUGGAAUGAUAGAUUAAUAUUCAAAUACGUUCUUUUUGAAGUUUCUUUGGUAUUCUUAAGAUAUAAAAUUUUGACAUGUUAAAAUAUAAAAGAUGAUUUUAUGCUUUGUUGAAACUAUUGGAAUGAAAUAAAAAAGCAAUAACAAGUCAUAGUUCUUGGCUUAUAAUGAAGAAAGUAAAGCUGGUUUUGAAUAAUUUACAUUUUUACAUAAAAGUCAAAUGUUGUAAUAAUUAUAUUUGUUUCUUUUGUGAAAAAUGCAACUAAAUGAAUAUCCUCAUUCAAUUAGAACCCAUCAAACACGUGAACUAAACUUGAUGGCCUAUUACUUGGUGUUCAAGUUUGUGGAAUGCCUGAAGUUUGUCCUUGUGUAAACCAGCUAUUAAAUGCAAAUUUAGGUCAGAUUUAUGAGAAUACGUAUUUCC
This 1225-nucleotide long non-coding RNA is filed under the name Equus caballus (horse). Its description in RNAcentral is "lncRNA (ENSECAG00000046053.1)". Lineage: Eukaryota; Metazoa; Chordata; Mammalia; Perissodactyla; Equidae. The record is from RNAcentral.